UGGGGCUGUGGCUCAGUGGUAGAGCGCUCGCCUAGCGUGCAUGAGGCCCUGGGUUCAAUCCUCAGCACCACAA
This 73-nucleotide transfer RNA is filed under the name Marmota monax (woodchuck). RNAcentral describes it as "tRNA.Ala". It matches the Rfam family "tRNA". Rfam says of the family: Transfer RNA (tRNA) molecules are approximately 80 nucleotides in length. Their secondary structure includes four short double-helical elements and three loops (D, anti-codon, and T loops). The record is from RNAcentral. Lineage: Eukaryota; Metazoa; Chordata; Mammalia; Rodentia; Sciuridae.